GAGACGUGGUCUUGUAACACAGUGGUUAAGAAUGUGACUUUGGAGCCAGCCUGCUAGGGGCUGAAUUCUGACUCAGCCAUUUAUUAACUGUGUGACCUUAGGUCAUAGAAUUUUCCACACUCCUUGACGGAGGUUCUUAACCCUUAUCCAUCAGCAUUCUCAGACAGCACCUCCGGUUAGGGACAGUAUCUGACCGUCCGACAUCCCUGCAGCCCCCAUGCUGUCACACAGACUCAGCCUCAGGUAGAUGGUUUCCGUAGAUGGUGGCUUUCUUUGGACCCUUGAUAUCAACCAGUUACUAUUUGACAGGGUCUCACUGUGUCAUCCAGGCUGGAGUGCAGUGGUGUGAUCUCGGCUCACCACAACCUCCACCACCUGAGUUCAAGUGAUUCUCCUACUUCAUCCUCCCAAGUAGCUGGGACUACAGGGGACCAGAUGUGCAGAGGUAAUGAAUACCAGGGAAUCAGGAAACCACUGGAUCAGUUCUUUGAGCCAUAGAACAACACUCAUCCCAGCAGCUGGGAAGCUAUCUGCAAAAGUCCAUCUGCAGAAAGGGCUUCCUGGUCUUGCGUGUGGCUGGGCCAUUUCUCUGGAUGCAGGUUUUUCAUUAUACAGUCUUCUCAAAGGACCACCUGCUCUCAACACCUUCUCGGUGACUCCAUUUCCCCUCCUCU
Molecule: non-coding RNA, 674 nt
Filed under: Pongo abelii (Sumatran orangutan)
Lineage: Eukaryota; Metazoa; Chordata; Mammalia; Primates; Hominidae
Source: RNAcentral